GUCCCCUUAGCUCAGCGGAUAGAGCGCUUGGCUUCGAACCAAGAGGUCGGGGGUUCAAAUCCCUCAGGGGACA
RNAcentral lists this transfer RNA (73 nucleotides) under Ignavibacteria bacterium. RNAcentral's name for it is "tRNA-Arg". It matches the Rfam family "tRNA". Rfam says of the family: Transfer RNA (tRNA) molecules are approximately 80 nucleotides in length. The record is from RNAcentral. Lineage: Bacteria; Pseudomonadati; Ignavibacteriota; Ignavibacteria.